UAUGAAAUCACGUUCAAGAAGUCUCAUUCAGCACACAUCGUGAUACUUGCCAUCAGUUUACAUGGUAGACCUGAAAAGAUGUAAAGGAGGCAGUCAUCCCUGUGGUGUUUGUGGAGAGGUAUUCCUUCAGAAAUGGAGAAGACAGAAAGCUGUGGAGGCAGACAUUUGCAGCAGAUUGUUUGCAGAUAAUGCUGUUCUUCUCCAUCAUGCACAAGGACUAACCUCUUUAACUCUUUAUCUCCCCACCACACACAGAAAUGCUCCCUUGAUCAGUGUUUAGACUUUGCAGUG
Molecule: long non-coding RNA, 291 nt
Organism: Carassius carassius (crucian carp)
Lineage: Eukaryota; Metazoa; Chordata; Actinopteri; Cypriniformes; Cyprinidae
Exons: 3
Source: RefSeq, a predicted model, not a curated record